RNAcentral lists this transfer RNA (76 nucleotides) under Rhizobiaceae bacterium. RNAcentral's name for it is "tRNA-Met". It matches the Rfam family "tRNA". From Rfam's summary of the family: Transfer RNA (tRNA) molecules are approximately 80 nucleotides in length. Their secondary structure includes four short double-helical elements and three loops (D, anti-codon, and T loops). RNAcentral also lists the same sequence under 1 other name. The record is from RNAcentral. Lineage: Bacteria; Pseudomonadati; Pseudomonadota; Alphaproteobacteria; Hyphomicrobiales; Rhizobiaceae.
AGCGAAGUGGAGCAGCGGUCAGCUCGCCGGCCUCAUAAGCCGUAGGUCACGGGUUCGAAUCCCGUCUUCGCAACCA